This 625-nucleotide ribosomal RNA is filed under the name Pseudo-nitzschia fraudulenta. RNAcentral describes it as "partial Bacterial large subunit ribosomal RNA". It matches the Rfam family "Bacterial large subunit ribosomal RNA", at positions 79 to 687 of the family's 2925-position model. Lineage: Eukaryota; Bacillariophyta; Bacillariophyceae; Bacillariales; Bacillariaceae. The record is from RNAcentral.
GGGGGAGGCGAGAGCACCCUUUGAUCCCGUGAUUUCCGAAUGGGGAAACCCACCUUAGAUACUUGGAAAUUCAAACAAGCCGUACGGCUUGACCAUUCAUGCCCUCGGGCCUGUUUGGUUUCCAAGUAUCGAGACAAGGUAUCUUAUCCUGAAUACAUAGGGAUAAGAAGGGAACGCGGGGAACUGAAACAUCUAAGUACCCGUAGGAAAGGACAUCAACCGAGACUCCGUCAGUAGCGGCGAGCGAACGCGGACCAGGCCAGUGGCAUGGUUAAGUAAAGUGGAACGAUCUGGAAAGUUCGGCCGUAGCGGGUGAUAGCCCCGUACACGUAAUCCUUAAUCUUGUCCUUGAGUAAGGCGGGACACGUGAAAUCCUGUCUGAACAUGGGGGGACCACCCUCCAAGCCUAAGUACUCGUGCAUCACCGAUAGCGAACCAGUACCGUGAGGGAAAGGUGAAAAGAACCCCGAUAAGGGGAGUGAAAUAGUUCCUGAAACCGGAUGCCUACAAGCAGUUGGAGCCUCUUUAUGGGGUGACAGCGUACCUCUUGCAUAAUGGGUCAGCGAGUUAGUCUUACAAGCAAGCUUAAGCCGAUAGGUGUAGGCGCAGCGAAAGCAAGUCUUAA